CCUGGUUGAUCCUGCCAGUAGUCAUAUGCUUGUCUCAAAGAUUAAGCCAUGCAUGUCUAAGUAUAAACAACUUUAUACUGUGAAACUGCGAAUGGCUCAUUAAAUCAGUUAUAGUUUAUUUGAUAGUACCUUACUACUUGGAUAACCGUAGUAAUUCUAGAGCUAAUACAUGCGAAAAGACCCGACUUUUGGAAGGGUUGCAUUUAUUAGAUACAAAACCAAUGGCCAGCAAUGGUCACACUUGGUGAUUCAUAAUAACUUUUGCGGAUCGCAUAGCUUUACGCUGGCGACGAAUCAUUCAAAUUUCUGCCCUAUCAACUUUCGAUGGUACGGUAUUGGCCUACCAUGGUUACAACGGGUAACGGGGAAUUAGGGUUCGGUUCCGGAGAGGGGGCCUGAGAAAUGGCCACCACAUCCAAGGAAGGCAGCAGGCGCGCAAAUUACCCAAUCCUGAUACAGGGAGGUAGUGACAAUAAAUAACAAUGCAGGACCUUUACGGGUUUUGUAAUUGGAAUGAGUACAAUUUAAAUCUCUUAACGAGUACCAAUUGGAGGGCAAGUCUGGUGCCAGCAGCCGCGGUAAUUCCAGCUCCAAUAGCGUAUAUUAAAGUUGUUGCAGUUAAAAAGCUCGUAGUUGAAUCUCGGAGUCCUUUUUUCUUCGGAAACGCCGAUGGUCGGAAACCCAGAGCCUCGAAAGGGGUGGAUGGGGCUGUUUACUUGAGGCAGGGCUCACAUCUGAGUUUCUCGAAGGUGGCCUCUGCUCUUCACUGGGUUGGGGGACUUUUUCACAUUCGAGACAUUUACUUUGAAAAAAUUAGAGUGUUCAAAGCAGGCAGUUUCGCUUGAAUACAUUAGCAUGGAAUAAUGGAAUAGGACUUUGGUCUUAUUUUGUUGGUUUCUAGGACUGAAGUAAUGAUUAAUAGGGACAGUUGGGGGCAUUAGUAUUUAAUUGUCAGAGGUGAAAUUCUUGGAUUUAUGAAAGACUAACUUCUGCGAAAGCAUUUGCCAAGGAUGUUUUCAUUAAUCAAGAACGAAAGUUAGGGGAUCGAAGACGAUUAGAUACCGUCGUAGUCCUAACCAUAAACUAUGCCGACUCGGGAUCGGUGAGCGUGUUUUUUUACUACCUCAUCAGCACCGUAGGAGAAAUCAAAGUUUUUGGGUUCUGGGGGGUGUAUGGUCGCAAGGCUGAAACUUAAAGGAAUUGACGGAAGGGCACACCAGGUUUGGAGCCUGCGGCUUAAUUUGACCCAACACGGGGAAACUCACCAGGUCCAGACAUCGUAAGGAUUGACAGAUUGAGAGCUCUUUCUUGAUUCGAUGGAAAGUGGUGCAUGGCCGUUCUUAGUUGGUGGAUUGCUCUGUCUGGUUUAUUCCGUUAACGAACGAGACCUUAACCUGCUAGAUAGUUACGAGAAUCU
Molecule: ribosomal RNA, 1417 nt
Filed under: metagenome
Description: SSU rRNA
Rfam family: Eukaryotic small subunit ribosomal RNA
Source: RNAcentral